RNAcentral lists this non-coding RNA (28 nucleotides) under Mus musculus (house mouse). The record is from RNAcentral. Lineage: Eukaryota; Metazoa; Chordata; Mammalia; Rodentia; Muridae.
UGUUGUUCAGGAGGUCAUGGAGACGCCU